RNAcentral lists this ribosomal RNA (887 nucleotides) under Fusarium oxysporum. Its description in RNAcentral is "SSU rRNA". It matches the Rfam family "Eukaryotic small subunit ribosomal RNA", at positions 565 to 1480 of the family's 1831-position model. Lineage: Eukaryota; Fungi; Ascomycota; Sordariomycetes; Hypocreales; Nectriaceae. The record is from RNAcentral.
UUCCCCCCCGCAUCGUAAUCCAGCUCCAAUAGCGUAUAUUAAAGUUGUUGUGGUUAAAAACCUCGUAGUUGAACCUUGGGCCUGGCUGGCCGGUCCGCCUCACCGCGUGUACUGGUCCGGCCGGGCCUUUCCCUCUGUGGAACCCCAUGCCCUUCACUGGGUGUGGCGGGGAAACAGGACUUUUACUGUGAAAAAAUUAGAGUGCUCCAGGCAGGCCUAUGCUCGAAUACAUUAGCAUGGAAUAAUAGAAUAGGACGUGUGGUUCUAUUUUGUUGGUUUCUAGGACCGCCGUAAUGAUUAAUAGGGACAGUCGGGGGCAUCAGUAUUCAAUUGUCAGAGGUGAAAUUCUUGGAUUUAUUGAAGACUAACUACUGCGAAAGCAUUUGCCAAGGAUGUUUUCAUUAAUCAGGAACGAAAGUUAGGGGAUCGAAGACGAUCAGAUACCGUCGUAGUCUUAACCAUAAACUAUGCCGACUAGGGAUCGGACGGUGUUAUUUUUUGACCCGUUCGGCACCUUACGAGAAAUCAAAGUGCUUGGGCUCCAGGGGGAGUAUGGUCGCAAGGCUGAAACUUAAAGAAAUUGACGGAAGGGCACCACCAGGGGUGGAGCCUGCGGCUUAAUUUGACUCAACACGGGGAAACUCACCAGGUCCAGACACAAUGAGGAUUGACAGAUUGAGAGCUCUUUCUUGAUUUUGUGGGUGGUGGUGCAUGGCCGUUCUUAGUUGGUGGAGUGAUUUGUCUGCUUAAUUGCGAUAACGAACGAAACCUUAACCUGCUAAAUAGCCCGUAUUGCUUUGGCAGUACGCUGACUUCUUAAACGGACUAUCGGCUCAAUCCGAUGUAGUUUGAGGCAAUAACACGUCAGCGGGGCCCCCCCCAAAAAA